RNAcentral lists this ribosomal RNA (457 nucleotides) under uncultured bacterium. RNAcentral's name for it is "bacterial SSU rRNA". It matches the Rfam family "Bacterial small subunit ribosomal RNA", at positions 15 to 518 of the family's 1533-position model. The record is from RNAcentral.
GAUUAUGGCUCAGAACGAACGCUGGCGGCAGGCCUAACACAUGCAAGUCGAGCGCGCCCUUCGGGGUGAGCGGCGGACGGGUUAGUAACGCGUGGGAACGUACCCUUUGGUAGGGAAUAGCCACUGGAAACGGUGAGUAAUACCCUAUGAGCCCUUCGGGGGAAAGAUUUAUCGCCAAAGGAUCGGCCCGCGUUAGAUUAGGUAGCUGGUGGGGUAAUGGCCUACCAAGCCUACGAUCUAUAGCUGGUUUUAGAGGAUGAUCAGCAACACUGGGACUGAGACACGGCCCAGACUCCUACGGGAGGCAGCAGUGGGAAUCUUGGACAAUGGGGGCAACCCUGAUCCCAGCCAUGCCGCGUGAGUGAAGAAGGCCUUAGGGUCGUAAAGCUCUUUCGCCUGUGAAGAUAAUGACGGUAGCAGGUAAAGAAACCCCGGCUAACUCCGUGCCAGCAGCUGC